GCAUGCCUGUCGGGACCCG
Molecule: small RNA, 19 nt
Filed under: Arabidopsis thaliana (thale cress)
Lineage: Eukaryota; Viridiplantae; Streptophyta; Magnoliopsida; Brassicales; Brassicaceae
Description: Ath_wt_00246
Source: RNAcentral